This 87-nucleotide transfer RNA is filed under the name Entransia fimbriata. RNAcentral describes it as "tRNA-Ser". It matches the Rfam family "tRNA". Rfam says of the family: Transfer RNA (tRNA) molecules are approximately 80 nucleotides in length. Lineage: Eukaryota; Viridiplantae; Streptophyta; Klebsormidiophyceae; Entransiales; Entransiaceae. The record is from RNAcentral.
GGAAAGAUGGCUGAGUGGUCUAUGGCGUAGCAUUGGAAAUGCUAUGUAAGUAUUUGCUUACCGAGGGUUCGAAUCCCUCUCUUUCCU